Molecule: long non-coding RNA, 7200 nt
Filed under: Capsicum annuum
Lineage: Eukaryota; Viridiplantae; Streptophyta; Magnoliopsida; Solanales; Solanaceae
Description: long non-coding RNA (CANN_LNC021692)
Source: RNAcentral
AUUAAUUAAAAGAGCUCUCUAGUACGUACUGUACAUCGUUACGUUUUCAAUUCCUCAAAUAACAGUACAACGGUUGGUCGCAAAUUUACCCUAGAGCUUCGAUCAAUAUAUGCAUCAAUUUUGCAGAUGCACAACGAGUGAGGAAACAUCUUUACCAAUUGCUUCUUCAAUUCCUUGGGUUAUUGCAGCUAAUUUUCCCCAAUAUCUGUUUUAUCUCUCUCGCAAAUUCGAGGUAUGAUUUCUAUUAUAUCUAGUUGCUCCAUUUCUAUCAAAAUUAUUCAAAAUUAGUUUUAUUACUUGGUUGUUCGAGCUACUCUUAUUCUUCCUAUUUUAUUCGAUCAGAAUCUGUCAUUUUUUAAAAUUUGUACAGCUCAAUAAUUUAUUAUGAUAUUUAUCAAUUUGUGGAUGGUUAAUUAUUGUCUCUUUAUCGUCUAGCUACUAGGAAUAGCAAUAAAAUUUAGCAGGUGCCGAGUGGGGCGGGUUUACUGCUAUGCGGAUCAGGGUGGGGCAGUCUCAAAGUGGGGCAGGGUUGGGCGAGGUGCGAUAGAGUCUUAGCUUUUUAAAACUGUGGGGUUGUGGUGCGGGGACAGAGCCUUCAUGUUUGUUUGAUCUGGCUAUACAUUUUUAUUUUCUGUUAAUAUGAUGUGCUAUGUACUUUGGAUAUCUCUAUUGUAUUUUGGAUAUUGUACAUCUUUAUUUUCUGUUAAUAUGAUGUGUUAUGUACUUUCUGCUGACAGAGUAUAUAACCUUUGAUAGAAGGUUGUGGAGGAUACAAUCAGUGUAGUAGGUUAGUAGGUAGUGAUAGUAUAGUGUGGUUUUGCGUAUCCUUCCUUAUUAGCUGUAGUAGCAUUACUUGAAUUCAUUUGUUAUUGAUGCUUCAAAAUUUGAUGAACGAAUGUAUUGAAUUGUAUUCUGACUUUUGUUGUUUAUAUAAGUAUUGAAUUGUGUAGAAUAUUACUACUAUUAAAUAAUUAUAAUUGUGUAAUGGGUCAUUGCGUUUCCCUUGUUAAUUCGGGUAAUAUACUGUGUAUUUCGGAGAACAAAUAUCAAGAUUAUGAUGCUUUUUCUAUUGCAUUUUGGAUGUUGUACAUCUUUGUUUUCUUUUAAUAUUACAUGCAAUGUAUAUUCAAUUUUCCGAGGAACUUAUCGAGAAUAUGAUCUUAGAUAGGAGGUUGUGGAGGACACAGAUAGAUUGACAAGUAGUAGUAGUAGAGCCAUGGUGGUUUUGCUUAUCCACUUCCCUAUUAGUAGUCAUAGCAUUACUCCUCUGGUUUCGUGUUAUUAGAUUUUUAUUACUAUCUUCCGUUUUUUGUAAUUUGAUUGUCGUAUUUUUUUUUUGUAGUUACUUUUGAGAAUGUUUGUUCAUAUUUUCUAUAGUAUUUUGUUGUGGUUUCUGUAUUUUUGUUAAAUUUUUUUUCGGGCUGCUUUGAACUAUUUUUUUCUUGAGCUGAGGGUCUUUUGGAAGCAUCCUUUCUACCUCUUACGUAGGGGUAAGGUCUGUGUACAUCUACUCUACCUAGACCCUACUUUAUGCCCUGAAUAUCAACAAAUUAUCAUCGUAUGAAAACUGAUGUGUACACCAUUCAGUAGUGUUUUCACUUUCUUGUCAUAAGAUAAUAGUGUUUUCACUUGUCAUCUUCUACUACUUUUCUCUAACUGUUCUUGUAUGUAACCCUUUUAAGCCUUCACAUAUCAUUUAAGGGAAGGUGGUAAUUUAAUGAUCCAAUAUUAGGGACUUUGAUUCCUGCCUAUAAUUGUUGUUUAAAGAAUAUCACGUAAAUCGCUAAACCUUGCCUUUCUUUUCCUUGCAUAAAAUCAUUAACUCUAUUUUCAAUAAUUUCUUACUGCCAAAACUAAAUAGUGCAGCAGAGUCCUAAUUGAAUAGUCAAGGUGCUUGCAAGUUAGCACACACACCACUAUUUUGUUGAAGCUUGUACUUUCGUUGAAGAACUUGAAUAAACUGGUGUGCUUAAGGUAGAUGAAAAACAAAUGGCCUAGUGUUUCUGCUUUUGUAGGAAUUGAAAAGCCUAGUCUCCAAGGUUUACGCCUACUUUAUUGACCACUAGAUAACACCCUUAGGUGCACCACAAAACUCUUCUACUAAUACCAAAUGGCCAACCAGGAAAUAGAUGCCCAAUUAUCAUUUAUACUUAGGUGCUUAUACCAAAGAGAGCAGAAAGAGGAAAUAUCUUGACAACAAAACUAACUACAGUAAUAAAAGUAAAGUAUUUUAAACUAGUCCAAGAUAGUGGAUCAUCACUGUUUAAAGACUAAAAGAGAACAAAGAAACAUAGGUAAUCACUGCAUACGGGCUAUUGAGUGCUCAAAAUAAAAUUACUCAUUAAUAUCAGAAAUUUCUUCGUGGUUUUUCUAAAUGUAAAAACAUCAAAGAAAUUUCCAGGUAACAAAUGGUACCUUAUUAGGGCAAACAUCAGCAUAAACAUGAUCUUUCUUUGAAAUAGCCUUACUUUCCAUGUUAAGCUCAUGAUGCUCUAUGCUGUCGAAAAUCAAAUCUGAAGACAUCUCUGCACCAGAAAAUGCAGAAAAAUCUAGUGACCUUUCGACAGUUAGAUUGAGAACAAGUGAUUCUCGAUCUGUCAUUUUUUGUGUUUGGGCUUACACAAGGUAUGUUGUUGUUGUGAUGUGCGAUGUACUACUACUUGUGUUAAAGAUGAUAGCUGGAAGCUGACAUCGACAUAACCAUGGUGUCUGGACCAACUUACAUGGACCUCAAUUAGUUUCAUGGAGUAAGUCUAUCUUAACAGGUAGCUCUGACAUUAGGACUUUGUAAUUAUGCAUAUGGAAGUGUAAAGUGGUUGCCGCCACGAUCCAUGCAAAUAGUUGUGGUUUUCAAUUCUGUUGCAGCUUUGCUAUUAGUUUCUUUACAGGGAUUUAUCUAAGUUAUAGGUAGUGACUUAUGGGAUUUUACUAGAGAUGUUGUUAUUGUUGUUGUAAUAGAGACUUUAUCUGAGUCAAGGGGAAUUCAAGAAUAGUUUUUCGCUACACUGUUGUUAUAGUAUAUGUGUUGUGUCUAAUACAAUUAAAGGUGAUAUAAGAUGGUUGUUUAUGGCAUUAUCUAACACACUGCGCUGAUUGAUAUCUUCCAUUGGCAGCGCAACAAUAGCAUAAGCCAACAAGCAAUACAAAACACCUAUCAAACUAAUAAGCAAGGCCCCCAGCACAUGUGGUGAGAAGGAUUGAAUACCUUGAGGAAAAGUAAACUAAAUCAGAGGCCAUUGGUUUGGCAGUUUAAAGCUUAUCUCUCAUUUUUCAAUUUUAUUCAUAAAUAACCACGACAAUUUUCCUGUUGUUGCCAUUAUCAAGUAACCAUGACUACAAUAAUCGAGAUAUUUAACAUUUCAUCAACAGGAAAAACAAAAUAAUCACAGCAUAAAGCCAAGUAAAAGAAAUACUGAAAGUGUUUUUUUAAUAAACAGACCAUAUAUGAAAUAUCUAUCAUACACCGGCAUUAUGGGCAGGGCCAUCCAAUAGGAUCCCUAAAACCUUCAGUUUUGAACCUCCAUUGUCAUCUGAAACAUCUCUGAAGUUAACUCCGAUCCCAGUCAUAUCUAUCCAUCUUGGAGAACUUUCAAUGACAAGCAGUACAUGUCAUGGAACAAGAACACUGAAAAGUUUAUAAGUAAGACAUUAUUUGAAUAAGGAAAACUCAAAACAUACUGUAAAAGAAAAUCAUUGAUAUCAUGAUGACUUAUGAUACAAUACCCAUGCUUGAAUGAAAAUAGAGAAGUACUAAAAAUCAUCUGUUUCAAAUAUGGCUUCAUCAAAUUGUGCUUCAUCCAAUAAAAAAAUAGAAGGAUGAUAAUGCAGGAGGAUGAUAGAUGAACUACAGAUUCAGGAUAGUUAAUAAUACAAACAUCUAUUGGUAUAAAAAAAAAGAGAAGGUGUGAACAUAAUGUAAAGGAACUUCAAAUCACUAAUGCUAAUAAAAAAGUGUCAAACCUUUUUCAAACUUCCGUAAUAAAUAUAGUUCAACCUAUAAAUGAAAUAAUACAUUUAGAAUGCUUAAAGCUUUGCAGUAUGAAACCUGGAAAUAAGAUUUCUAGUCCUAUGUAAUAACCUAAAUAAAAAAAAUUAUAUUCCCAUGUGGUAGACAUCCCGCCGUCCUCUAAAUAUUGAAUGUUCCUUAUUAACUUUUUAUUAUUAUUUUUUUAUUUUAGAUAUUUGAUCCUUUUUCCCUUUUUAUGUGUUAUUCUCAAAGCAGAUGAGAUGCUUAAAUAUUGUUGGUCUGUGAUGAUUAUAUGCUUAUUUGAGUAGUAAGCCGACAGUUUCAAACAAUGUCUGUAAAUUUUAUAAAAUAAUAUAGUUCUAAUCUGAGGAGGAGGUCAUAUUAUGUUUAAAGUCGAAAUACCUAAUGUAGUAUGAUAUAAUCAUCUGAUGGUAAUACGUUACGUGAAUUUAAUUAUUUUUCUUAUCCUUUAUAUUUUUUAAUCUAUUUUUUUAUGUAUUCUCCAAGGUUAUGACACCUAGUAAGCAAUGGAUGCAACUUUUUCUUCAUAAUUGGACUCACAAAAUCUACUUAGACGGGGUGAAAAAGUUUGUGAAUUAUGAUUUUUGGAGAAAAUAAGAAGAAUGUGAAAUACGGUGUCUGUGUUACGAGUGUUGUAAUGCAACAUUAGAAACUCGUAAAACAAUUGAGAUACAUUUGAAAGUCCAUGGAUAAGUGAAAAUUAUACCUUUGGAUUUCACCAUGAAAAACAAUUAGGUGAGCCACUAUCAGACUUUGCAGAUGAGGAUGAUGAUGAAGCAGAAAAUUUUGAGAGUAAAGACGAAGAUCAAGUGGAAGAACUAUUGAGAGAUUUAUAUAUUAAUGCUAAAAGUGGAGGAGAUACACACACUAAUUUUGAUGAUAAACUUGAGGAGAAACUAAAUGCUGAAGUUAAAAUUUUUUAUCGCUUUCUGAAGGAUUUCAAGCAGCCAUUGUAUCAAAACUCAAAGGUUUCAAAGAUUUCAUCUUUGUAUAAAUUACUUCACAUCAAAAGUAUGGGUUAUUGGGGCAAUGAGUCAUUUACCAUGCUAUUGAAAAUGUUAAAGGGGGAGUUGUUGCCAGAUGGAGCUAAUCUGCCAAAUUUAUAUGAUGAGGCAAAAAGGAUAAUUCGAGAGCUUGAGCUUUCUUACAACAUGAUUGAUGCUUGUACUAACGAUUGCAUGUUAUAUUAAAAGAAGGAUAUCUUACUUGAUUCUUGUAAAAUUUAUGGUGCGUUCAGAUGAAAGUUAGAUACACAUAGUGAGGAUAUAAAGAAUAAAAAAGAAUAAAAAUAGCCUUAAAAAUUUUAUGCUAUUUUUCCUUAAAGCCUAGGCUUCAGAGGUUGUUUAUGUCUACAAAGACAACUUCUCUAAUGACAUGGCAUAAAGAUGAAAGAACCGAUGAUGGAAUAAUGAGACACUCAGCUGAUUCAAUAGCAUGAAAGACGUUUAAUGAAUGAUAUACUUCAUUUUCAGUUGAUCCUCGUAACGUUCGACUUGGACUUGCUAGUGACGGAUUCUAAUCAUUUUGAAAUUCCAAAAUCUCAUAUAGUAUUUGGCCCGUGGUUCUUAUUCCUUAUACUUUACCAGCCUGGUUGUGUAUGAAAUAGGAUAAUUUUAUUUUGUCAAUGCUUAUUCCUGGUCCAAGCAGUCCUGGAGAAGCAAUUGAUACAUAUCUUCAACCUCUAAUAGAGAAAUUGAAUGAGUUAUGGGAAAUUGGUAUUGAAACCUUUGAUACAUCAACUAAAUAAAAUUUUAAGUUGAAUGUUUUUUUGUUAUGAACUAUCAAUAACUUUUCGGCAUAUGAAAAUUUAUCUAGAUGGAGUACAAAAGAAAAACGGGCAUGUACAUCUUGUAAAAAAGAUAAUUCCUCAAUUUAAUUGGCUAAUUGUAAGAAGGAAUGCUUUAUGGAUCAUCGAUGUUACCUUUCUUUGAGUCACAGAAGGAGAAAUGAUAAGAAGUCAUUUGAUGGUACAAUAGAGAAAAGACACCCACUAAAAAUGCAUUCUGGGAAUUGAGAUACUUAAUCGAGUGCAAGAUCUUGAAGUACAAUCAUUAAUAAAAGGAUCCUAAUGAGAGGAGGAAGAUAUCACAUGAAAAGCUAAAGAAUAAUUGGAACAAGAAGGGUAUCUUUUUUAAACUUCCUUAUUGAAAAUAUCUCUUGUUGCGACAUAAUUUGGAUGUUAUUCAUAUUCAAAAAAAUAUAUUUGAUAAUUUUUUUGGGACAUUCAUGAAUGUCAAAGGAAAGACCAAAGAUACAAUUAAAACCCGGUUAGUUAUUAGGUCAGAAUUGCACCCUAUCCAAAGAGAGAAUGAAGUCAAAGUUUCAACUGUAUGCUACACAUUGUCUACUGAAGAAAAGCAUAAAUUAUGUAUUUUCUUGAAGAAUUUAAAGGUCCUGAAUGAAUUUUUAUCUAAUAUUUCUCAAUGUGUGACAUGAAAGAACACAAGAUAUCUGAUUUGACAAGCCAUGAUUGUCAUGUUCUGUUGCAACAUAAACUCCCUCUUGCUCUUCAUGGUAUAUUGUCAAAAGAAGCGUGUGAACCUCUUAAUGAGUUAUCUUUAUUUUUUAGUGUUCUUAGGUCAAAGGAGUUGAGGAUUGAUAAUUUGAAAUAUAUUGAAGAGCAAAUUCCUAUUACACUUUGCAAGUUAGAAAAAGGUUUUCACUUUUUUUUUAUGUCAUGGACCACUUGCCUAUUUAUUUAGCUGGUGAAGCUAAGAUUGUUGGGAUAUUUAUUAUCGGUGGAUGUAUCUUAUCGAGUGAUGGUUAUAUUUUUUGAAAUCUCUCAUUGGUAAUAGGGCAUGCCCAGUAGGUUCUAUUGCAGGGAGCUACCUUGCAAACUUUAUGUUCAAGGUAUCUGUAUAGAAUUGACACGAAAUUCAAUUGGUUUGAAUGAAAUUAUGAUGGUGGUUUAAAAAAUUCAAAUGGAGGUUUAUCUAUUUUUUGUCAACCUGAAAAGACUCUGGGAGAUAAAGAUCCAUGUGAGCUUGAAGCAAAUGAAUUGAAAACAAGCACAUAUAUAUAUAUUCUGAAGAAUUGUGUUGAAGUCUUACCAUAUCUCGAGUAUGGAGAGUUCUUUUGUAUCAUCUUUUUUUUUUCAAUUUCCUUUAAGGUAAUAUUGUUUCUAUAUGACGUUUAUGGUUAAACUCAAUUUUGUAGAGAGUUUGCAAAUAUGAAUAUUGCUCAAGACUUGUUGGAUACAGAAUGGGACCGAG